CGUUAAGAGAUUGUCUCUGUCUUUAUUUACUUUGUUGAAUAAAGGGAAUGCAAUUGCUGA
This 60-nucleotide non-coding RNA is filed under the name unclassified sequences. The record is from Rfam.